This is a long non-coding RNA of Myotis lucifugus (little brown bat), 1473 nucleotides long. RefSeq lists it as uncharacterized. The record is from RefSeq and is a predicted model, not a curated record. The transcript has 3 exons. NCBI's taxonomy places the organism in Eukaryota, Metazoa, Chordata, Mammalia, Chiroptera, Vespertilionidae.
UUAACAAAGAGCUCUGGCUCUUUCUCACUUGGUAACACUUGCUCACCCUGUUUGCCCUAGUCUUCUCUCUCCACAGCAGCCGCAUGGGCCUAACAGCCUGGGGCCUGGGCUCCCAGCACAAGCCUGGGUACAGCCAUGCAGCGCCAGCUGAGCGCAAACUCAGACUAAGCUAGCCGGAUGAGGACAGGCAUGGACUGAGCCAAAGGUGCAAUACAUCUGGACUCUGGCCCUGCUUCUGGACCCGAUGAAGGCAGGCUGCACUUUUCUCACAACAGGAUGGAUGAAGAUGAGACACUGGGGCCUGUGGGCAGCCUUCUAUUUCCACCCCAACAAACGUUACAACUAGACCACAUCCUCCCAUCACUGAGUCUCCUGGAUUGCUUCCCCAUGUUCAUCGGCAGCAUCAAUAGCUGAGUGUCCUACAAUUUAACUCAAUCCUGACACUAUCUACCUGGAGAUAGCAUCAGAUCCCACAGAAGGUGCUGGAGACUCUGUGGACCAUCAGGCAGGCCAGUGGAGAUGGCUGUGCGCCUCAGACACUGCGGAAUGAACUCAUCAGAGCUGCUGUCACACUUUACCGGCUGGUGACUGCCCCCAGGAGACCCCAGCUGGCCCUGCUCCCCCACGGCUGCCCAUGGUGCUCAUGGUCCAUUCAACCUGCUCUCCACUUUUCAAGUCCUGCUGGUCACCAGUAAUGCGGAGAGAGAAGAGGCAUGGGGGACCUUUCUGGACAAAACUUCAUCUCCCCAAAUAGAUGGUGGUUUGGGAGGCAACGGACAUGCCCACAGCCUGGGCACAGGGCUCCUCUGUGGGCACCGCCCUGUGUCCUGAGCCUCAGCUCUAACUUGCAAGAGAUCAGCGUCCUUAACCAAUCAGGAACUAAUUAACUUCUAACUGCAACUGUGGAGGCUAAAAAGUAUUAAUACUUUCCCUUCCACCUUCUAAGUUCUGGGUGGGCUAAUCAUCCAAUUAACAGAGACAGAUGAACAGAAGGAAGGUAAAGUUUUCAUCCAUGCACAUGGGCAAUUCACAUAGGCAUGAAAAUUCCAGAGAUAGAGAGGCAACAUGGGUAUCUGUGACAUUUUUGGAGAAAGGGGGGAAGGGGCAUUAGAUUUCGGGAGUGAGCAUGGGAUUUACAUGUAGUCGAGAAGAGCAGAACACACGUGCAGGGAAAUUCUUGCCAGUGACUCAGAGACAAUGGGCACAGGGACCUGGCGAAUGGGAAGGAUUUGAGGUGACUGAGCCGAGGCUCCCUUCAACGCAGGGCUCUCCGUCUGCCUCUCCUGGCAGGACAGGGGGAGGGCCAGCAGUUCUUCCUAAAUCUUUUGUUUCUUAAUAAACAGCUCGAAAUCAAUAUCCCAAAGGCACCUUCACGGGGGCCAAAUUUUGGUUCCCUUCCCAAACAUGUUACAUGUGACUGGCAGGAGGCGUGGAGCGAUGCAGAAACACCAAAGGGCAAGGUAAAUAGACUGG